This 714-nucleotide ribosomal RNA is filed under the name Caloplaca xerica. RNAcentral's name for it is "partial large subunit ribosomal RNA". It matches the Rfam family "Eukaryotic large subunit ribosomal RNA", at positions 212 to 944 of the family's 3401-position model. Lineage: Eukaryota; Fungi; Ascomycota; Lecanoromycetes; Teloschistales; Teloschistaceae. The record is from RNAcentral.
GUGAGAAUCCCGUAUGUGACCGGCGACCAACCCCAUGUGAAACUCCUUCGACGAGUCGAGUUGUUUGGGAAUGCAGCUCAAAAUGGGUGGUAUAUUUCAUCUAAAGCUAAAUACCGGCCAGAGACCGAUAGCGCACAAGUAGAGUGAUCGAAAGAUGAAAAGCACUUUGGAAAGAGAGUCAAAAAGUACGUGAAAUUGUUGAAAGGGAAGCGCUCGCAACCAGACCUGCCCGCGGUCGAUCAACCGUCCUUCUGGGCGGUGCACUCGACCGCGAUCAGGCCAGCAUCGGUUCGGGCGGCCGGAUAAAGGCCCUGGGAACGUAGCUCCUUUCGGGGAGUGUUAUAGCCCUCGGUGUAAUGCGGCCAGCCUGGACCGAGGACCGCGCUUCGGCUAGGAUGCUGGCGUAAUGGUUGUGAGCGGCCCGUCUUGAAACACGGACCAAGGAGUCUAACAUCUAUGCGAGUGUUUGGGUGUCAAACCCAUGCGCGUAAUGAAAGUGAACGGAGGUGGGAACCCAUUCGGGCGCACCAUCGACCGAUCCAGAUGUCUUCGGAUGGAUUUGAGUACGAGCAUAGCUGUUGGGACCCGAAAGAUGGUGAACUAUGCCUGAAUAGGGUGAAGCCAGAGGAAACUCUGGUGGAGGCUCGCAGCGGUUCUGACGUGCAAAUCGAUCGUCAAAUUUGGGUAUAGGGGCGAAAGACUAAUCGAACCAUC